RNAcentral lists this long non-coding RNA (2227 nucleotides) under Zea mays. Its description in RNAcentral is "long non-coding RNA (ZMAY_LNC001773)". The record is from RNAcentral. Lineage: Eukaryota; Viridiplantae; Streptophyta; Magnoliopsida; Poales; Poaceae.
ACAUCUUUACUAUAUAAUAAGAGUUCUGUACAAAAUAAAUAAUUACAUUAUAAGGAGACAACGGUCCAGCAACCCAAAGUUGACUGGGAGACGACGACCUAGAUCUCUCACGAACACGUCGCAGCAUCCUCCAUGCGCCUCAUCCUGUGGUAUCUGUUCUUGACCUGUGGGGGGUGUGAGACAGCAAGAGUGAGCUCACAUACGUUCAUCGCUCAACAAGUUGUGGGGAAUAAUGUGCAUGAACUCGCCAAAGGUGGGAGCUCACGUGAAGUGUAAGGCUUACCAAAGAGGAUGGUUAGAGCUGAGCAUUGCUUUUAAGGUUGGUCAAAAUUUUAUUAGCAAUUAUUAAGUAUAAGUAAAUACCAACCCAAUUAAGUAGUAGAUCAAAAGUAACAACAUCACCUGCGAUGCAAUGCAUAUGACAAAUUGAAUUUAGUUCCAUAAAUUAAUCAUCAGAGAGUCCUGAGCUGCUCAUGACCGCGAGCUCGGCUAGUAUACCAGUUUUACACUCUGCAGAGGUGGUACCCUUUACCCACAAGUCAUGUUACCCAUCUGCCAAGGGAUCGCGACUUCCCAUACACCAAUACCGAGGAGGCGAGGCAGGGUAACACUACGAGGCCUUUACAAAGUUCCACUAGCUUCAGAAAACCCGCUACAGUUUAUGGGAAGCUCCAAUGCAGGAAUCCCUUGCAGGACCGCCAUUGCAGCAAAAUCCUCCCGAGGGCCUCCCUACACUGACCACUCCCCUACUGCCCUUGCCCCUUUCGGGUAAGGUAGUCCUCCACUAGCUUUCCUAAUUAAUCAGCCAAGGGCGUCCAUAAACCCUUGUGGUGGCACGUGUUUCUCAAGUUAAGCUCUAUGUUCCAAUUAACAUUAAUGAUCUUGACAUGAACAGUAAAUAACAACGGAUAACAAAAGUAUAAUCAUGAAUAAUGUGUAUCUCAAUGCCCAAAACCACAUAUAGCACUAGCAAGUACUACCCAAAUGAUUCAGGGGUAAACAAGGUAAUGAGAUAAACAAUCUAGGGUAACCUAUUAGGUCCCAUCAAAAUUAACCUAUGCAGAUCAUUAUGAUUAAUUAGAACAUGAGUGGGUAAAAGAAGUGAUCAAGGGCACAACUUGCCUGGGACUUGAGAUUCCAGGUAUCAGGAUGAUCUUCAGGUGACACGUGUCCUCACUGCUAAACGUAGCAAUACAGACAAACAUGGUAUAUACAAAAUUAACAUCACACCAAACAUAAGAAUAAACUACGUAAUAAUAAUCUACGCGUUGCUACGAGAUCGUAGGAACAAGAAUCACUAAAUUCGGAGCUACGGUUAUUAAGUUAUGAAUUUCCUAAGGUUUUAUGUAUUUGAUACGGGAUUAAUUAAGAGAUAAAUUUUAAUACCAUUUUCAUGUCAAAACAGAGACACUAAGUGGUAGAGAAUAAAAUUAUAAAAUUUUAGAAAGUGGAAUGGAUUAAUUUGGAGUAAAAAUGGAAUUUCUAUGAGUUUUACAAGUUCUAGGAUUUAUUUAUCUAUUAAUAAUCCAUUUAUAGAUUAUUUUCUCUGGUUUUAUAAUGUUCUGGACUGGGCCUCGAUUUCCAGAAAGGUCAGGGGCUGCGCGAAUAAAAUCCUAGACUCAGUGAACAGUGUAUGUGGACGGCGGGUUUAUUGCCUACUUCACCAGGGGCCUCUUAAGGAAAUGUGCCAGGGCCGAAGGGGUAUCAUCUAAUCUGAACCGUUCGAUUGGGUGUGGACGCGCGAGAUUAGAUCUAGCCUUUCCCGAACCGGUACGCGACUGCGGCCGUUGGAUCCCAAAUCAACGCACCCGAUAUAAAACACCAAGGUCUAAUCCUAUCCGUGCAAUCCCCGAUCGACGGUCACAACUCCAUGUGGCGAAGGGGUACGCACAGUUUUAAUCACACCCGUUGAUCACUGAUCUUACGGUGCCCAACUCCCUUCCCCGCCGUGACACCAGACACCACGGUGUCCGCGGUGGCGCCCUGAACCGCGGCGGCGGCAUCACCGGCGUUCUCUCAACCCCACAAAGGCAGCCGGACGCGGCAGGCCCCUGCCCGUACCGGCACCGCCCACCGGAAUUCUUCCCCCCCCCCCCGCGCCCAAUCGCCCAAAUACUGCUUCGACGAAAGCUACGCAAAGCAUUAAUGACGGCAAACUUGGCUCUAGCAUCUUACCAGCGAUGAUGUCGCAGAGAAACCGGCUACGGAGCGAGCAGGCGCUACGGCG